RNAcentral lists this ribosomal RNA (3158 nucleotides) under Triticum aestivum (bread wheat). RNAcentral's name for it is "partial small subunit ribosomal RNA". The record is from RNAcentral. Lineage: Eukaryota; Viridiplantae; Streptophyta; Magnoliopsida; Poales; Poaceae.
UACCGGGAAUUAGGAAGGUACAAAUUGUGACGUUUGGUGCGUAAUUCGGUGCUGGUAGCUAGCGAUUGGGAGGGGGUGGGGAGCGCGAUGUUUUUUUGGCGACGGUUCGUGCGGGCGUCGGGGCGUGCUGGAGAGCGGGGGAGGGAGGAGGAGGGCGCGGCAAGCGGCGGAGGGCGUCGGCAAUCGGCUGCGCCCUCGGCGCGGCGGCCUCGGCGGCGGGGGAAGGCAGCGCCCUCGGCGGCCUCGUCGGCGGGGGGAGCGGCGCCCUCGGCGCGGCGGCCUCGGCGGCGGGGAAGCGACGCCCUCGGCGGCGGGGGAAGCGGCGCCCUCGGCGGCGGGGGAAGGCGACGGCCUCGGCGGCGGGGAAGCGGUGCCCUCGGCGGGCAGCGGGAAGCUGUGGGCUCAGCGAGUCGAACCGGAGACGGGGCGGCGGGGGCCAGGAGAAGACGAAGUUGAAGUUGUUACAUCGUUUUGAAGUGGCGUUUUACCCGGUGAGGGAGGACUACGAGAGUACCACGGUACGGUUUGAGAAAAGUACGACUUCCCGAAGAGUCCAGGUUUUUUAUGAGAGUAUUAACGAAAUUGUAAAUAGAGGAACUCGAUAUUGUUGUCAAGGUGCUGUUCCAACGAACGUUAUAAAAUCUUUUGACAUAAUAUAAGACCUGUAAAAUAUAAUGUACUGUUACUUAAACCGAACUUUACGAGGACUACUCCGAAUUUUCAAGAACUUCACACAAUUCUGGGUGAUAGUAUAAGUCUAAAUAAGUGGUAAUUUAAAGAUAUUUCCCUGAACGGUUAGGGAAAGUGGGUAUGGUUUUUCACACAAAGGUCUCUCGUACUAUCCACUUUACGUAAAAAGAAGAAUUUAAAAUUGGAAACCCGUCCCUACGAAACAUUUUGUGCCGUACCACUACUUUUAGAGAAGAAUCUUUUAAUUAAAUAUUACUCUUCAAUACAAGAUUAAACGAGAUCGGCAUCUUAAUUACUUCCACCCAAUUCUCAACACGGAUAAAUUAAUCGCACUUUGAAGAUACGUAUACCGUGGAAACUAGAAUUCAAGUAACCAGAAAGUAUACUACCACUGUGUCCGCUUAGUAGAACUCCACUUUCAGUAUUUAAUAAACUUUCAGUAUUUAAUACAAAACCGCAACAACGAAACAAACUCCACAAAAAGAGUGGUACUUACUAUAUUCGUAUAGAAACGUUAAAAUGGAGCUACGUGAGUCAGUGGUCCUUCUUUUAAAGUGUUCAACGUUGAGUUCUUAAGAGGUACUAUCUUCACCACACGUUAUACAUAAGAGGGUAAGUUCGCUGUAACAUCGAAUAAAUGUAUUUAAAGUGAGAACAGACGUAUAUCAGAAAUAAUACAGACGGAACGAUGAGACUUGACCUCACUACAAGAAAAUAACAAUAGAUACGUUUGCUUAUCUACUAUCAUGUAGUUCACAGAAUUAUAGACAUGACGCUGAUUAUAAACUUCAAAACGAAAACGGCUUUGAGAGUUUCCACAGCGUACGCUCGAAAUCUUUUGCGUAAGUCUAAAGUCUCAACUAGUUAGGUAACUUCACAUUCCACAACGUACGCUCGAAAUCUUUUACGUACGUCUAAAGUCUCAACUAGUUAGGUAACUUCACAUUGACGUCGACCUCACUGGUAUGUGUGUACGUUGUAACAUCAAAUUCUGGAGAUUUGUUAUCGGACCGUUCAAGAAUAGGACUACAGUCGAGGACACAGAACUCAUUCGCAGUCACCGUAGGGAUACGGGUUGUUGUUAGUAUGUUCGUAAUAAAACCGUUCAAAUCCAAUAAAGACCGUGUGUAAAUUAAAAACGUUCAACACUAAAAUAAAAACUGCACUUCACUAAAAAAGGUGUUAACCUUUCGUAGAGAUAAUGGAGCUAAUAUAAAAACAAGUAAAAUGACUAUAUAAAAGAGAGAACUAGUGUACUAUAAUACACGCAACGUGCACGUGCUAAUGAUAAACCCCAUCACACAUCCUAGAAGUGUCAAAGUUUGUACCGAUAAAGACCGUGGCGAUAGAGAACGCACUUACAGGAGGACCAAAGGUACAGCCACGGAUGUAGUUACAAGAUGGUACUACAAUGGUCAAAUUCGACGAUGAUACCAGUCAGUAUUUCGUAGUAAGAGAUCGAUGUUGUAGACAACUACAAACGGCGGUUUCGUUGUAAUUUAAUACUUGACUAUAAUUAUCGCUUCCAUACCAGUUUCUAAGAUAAGAACUACACUCCUUGGCUACUCCCGCCUACCGGCCUUUGAGACCUAACCUAGGUACAAAAGAAUGACCUCAAAAUUAGACUAGCGACCUAUUUGAUUCACGUAUGCACACAGAUAUACGUAAGAAAAGUUACCAUUAAAACUAUAAACAAAAAGGUUUGAUUCGAACAUAAAAAAUCUUUGCUAUUUCAAGAAGUAUUUAGGUAACUUUGUAAGAGGUCGUUUCGAGUACUCCUCGUAUACUCAAGGGAAAAUUAUGUCUCCGAGCUUGAAUAACAUAAGACUUAUGUAAAGGUAGAUAAGUAAAAGGGUACAUUUGUUCAUUGACCGCUAGUCUAGCCUAAGCUCCUGGUAGCAGAGAGUACACAAUGCAUAAUCACUACGGAUGUACUGUCACCUUUUACAUGCUUAUACGUCACAACUGUCAUUGUUCUAUGAAGAAGAGAACGUUGGUUUUCAUAACGAAGACUAAUGUCACUCCGCCGAACUACCUAGUAGCCGGAGUACCGUUUUAAUCUCUGUCUCCUCCCUCCUCCGAAGUAUCUUCGUGUUGAAGUUCUCGAGUCCUUCUAGUUUGGCUUCUUUCUGUUGUGAGUCGCGUUGUACGAGCACAGCUACUACGGCCACGUCUCCUUCUAACACCCUAACUAGUCACUCUCGUCCCUGCACGAAUGGUCGCUCGUGUUCUCGUAGACCACCUCGGUCAUCUAGGGGUCCCUCCUCAUCCGCCCGCAUGUAACAGGUCAAGAAGACAUUUUUUACAGUGAGAUGUGUUAUAUUAACAAAUCUUGUUGUGUGUACUAUAUGAGCUGAUUAGUAGGAAAUAUUUAGUUGUCCGACCAUACUCUACAAUUUUAAACAAGGAUAAACAGAUGGUAAUAAGUAGAAAAAAUCUUCACAAUUACAGUAACUAAAGAAUGAAUG